This 295-nucleotide long non-coding RNA is filed under the name Bos taurus (domestic cattle). Its description in RNAcentral is "long non-coding RNA NONBTAT014189". Lineage: Eukaryota; Metazoa; Chordata; Mammalia; Artiodactyla; Bovidae. The record is from RNAcentral.
UACUUUAUUAUAGUGAGGCAGAGAAUUCACCAGAUUGGGAACAGUUUUACUUUUUUUCAGCUUUCUGCCUUUUCUCUGUGGCUUUGAUUGCUCUCAGGUGACCUGUAGCAUUCUGUUUUGGGGGAGAUUGCCUGCAUUACUAAUAGCUUAGGGGGCCUUUUUGUGUUCUAUUAGCCCUCCUGUAAGUGCGUGCAGUUUGCAGGCCUGUCACAGCGAGAACACUGGCGAGUGAGGCCCUCACAGGAGGAUCUCAGACGCUAUAGCACCAGGCUUUGAAGCAGAUCUUCUGAUUCUG